GGGCGCAGCUAAUAAAUGCAAGUCGAGCGGACAGAUGGGAGCUUGCUCCCUGAUGUUAGCGGCGGACGGGUGAGUAACACGUGGGUAACCUGCCUGUAAGACUGGGAUAACUCCGGGAAACCGGGGCUAAUACCGGAUGGUUGUUUGAACCGCAUGGUUCAAACAUAAAAGGUGGCUUCGGCUACCACUUACAGAUGGACCCGCGGCGCAUUAGCUAGUUGGUGAGGUAACGGCUCACCAAGGCAACGAUGCGUAGCCGACCUGAGAGGGUGAUCGGCCACACUGGGACUGAGACACGGCCCAGACUCCUACGGGAGGCAGCAGUAGGGAAUCUUCCGCAAUGGACGAAAGUCUGACGGAGCAACGCCGCGUGAGUGAUGAAGGUUUUCGGAUCGUAAAGCUCUGUUGUUAGGGAAGAACAAGUACCGUUCGAAUAGGGCGGUACCUUGACGGUACCUAACCAGAAAGCCACGGCUAACUACGUGCCAGCAGCCGCGGUAAUACGUAGGUGGCAAGCGUUGUCCGGAAUUAUUGGGCGUAAAGGGCUCGCAGGCGGUUUCUUAA
RNAcentral lists this ribosomal RNA (564 nucleotides) under Bacillus subtilis. Its description in RNAcentral is "bacterial SSU rRNA". It matches the Rfam family "Bacterial small subunit ribosomal RNA", at positions 40 to 586 of the family's 1533-position model. The record is from RNAcentral. Lineage: Bacteria; Bacillati; Bacillota; Bacilli; Caryophanales; Bacillaceae.